CACAGCCCAACACAUGCAAGUCGAGCGGAACGAGUUAACUGAACCUUCGGGGAACGUUAACGGCGUCGAGCGGCGGACGGGUGAGUAAUGCCUAGGAAAUUGCCCUGAUGUGGGGGAUAACCAUUGGAAACGAUGGCUAAUACCGCAUAAUCUCUUCGGAGCAAAGAGGGGGACCUUCGGGCCUCUCGCGUCAGGAUAUGCCUAGGUGGGAUUAGCUAGUUGGUGAGGUAAUGGCUCACCAAGGCGACGAUCCCUAGCUGGUCUGAGAGGAUGAUCAGCCACACUGGAACUGAGACACGGUCCAGACUCCUACGGGAGGCAGCAGUGGGGAAUAUUGCACAAUGGGCGCAAGCCUGAUGCAGCCAUGCCGCGUGUAUGAAGAAGGCCUUCGGGUUGUAAAGUACUUUCAGCAGUGAGGAAGGUUCAUGCGUUAAUAUCGUAUGGAUUUGACAUUAACUGCAGAAAAAACCGCGGCUCACUCCGUGCCAACCGCCUCCGUAAUACUCACGGUGCAACUUU
RNAcentral lists this ribosomal RNA (519 nucleotides) under Vibrio hepatarius. Its description in RNAcentral is "bacterial SSU rRNA". It matches the Rfam family "Bacterial small subunit ribosomal RNA", at positions 43 to 537 of the family's 1533-position model. Lineage: Bacteria; Pseudomonadati; Pseudomonadota; Gammaproteobacteria; Vibrionales; Vibrionaceae. The record is from RNAcentral.